This 818-nucleotide long non-coding RNA is filed under the name Homo sapiens (human). RNAcentral describes it as "HSALNT0366760". Lineage: Eukaryota; Metazoa; Chordata; Mammalia; Primates; Hominidae. The record is from RNAcentral.
GAAUACGGUUUCUGAGAAUUUCCACUCUGAAUUCACAUUCCGUUCAGUGUUAUCGCCACCCUGUGGAUUUCUUGGGUAAUGAAACUCAGACCGGGAAAUGAAAACGGGGAUUUUCAGUAAAUCGGUUCCAGUAAAUCUCUGCUGCUCUUGUGGGCGCCCUCUUUUGAGCACCGGAGGAAUGAGCACCGUUCUUCAUUCUUUUGGUUUUGUAAAGUUGUAGAGCUGCGUUCAUAACUACCUCGCUGGCUUUGAGCACAACCCAGGAAGAAGUUUGAAACCAAGAAAAUGGUGGUUGGGAAGACCAGGAUGCGCAAUGGCAAGUAGGCACCCAAUACAUACAAGGGAGUAAAUGAAUGAAUUAAAGCUGUCUGUAUCUGCUGAUCAUCCACAAUUUAGACGUCCUAUACUACAUUCCAAUUGAGGGCAAGCGGGGUACGUGUCCUGAAUUUAUAGAAUCUUUUGACACAAAGCAAGAGAGCCACAGUCAAGACUCAAGUCAAAAGAAAUUUAGACCCCAUCUGGGCAAACAGGCCUCUAAGCAACAAUCUAAGAUUUCCACCUAUUGUUCUGGCAUUCCUUGUAUAAAUGAUUAUGACUGCAGAGAUCUUAGGAAGUGCUGUGGUACCUUUAGAUGUGGCCUGAGGUGCAUACAUCCUCUUAUGAUUGGCCCUGUAUUUUUCAAUUCACCUCCACAAUCCAAGGCAUAAAUAUUGGAUGGAGAAAUGGAUUCAGAUGGAGGCAUCAUUGAGCUUAUUCUUGACUCAUCUCAGUCCAAACAUUACUCUGUCAAUCGUUGUUCUUAAAAUCUGCAUAUUAAA